GCCAUGCGAGUCGAGAGGGUUCGGCCCUCGGCGAACUGCUCAGUAACACGUGGAUAAUUUGCCCUUAGGUGGAGGAUAACCUCGGGAAACUGAGAAUAAUACUCCAUAGAUCUUAGAGGCUGGAAUGCACUAAGAUUGAAAACUCCGGUGCCUAAGGAUAAGUCUGCGGACUAUCAGGUUGUAGUCAGGGUAAAGACCUGACUAGCCUACGACGGAUACGGGUUGUGAGAGCAAUAACCCGGAGACGAUAUCUGAGACAUGAUAUCGGGCCCUACGGGGCGCAGCAGGCGCGAAACCUUCACAAUGUGCGAAAGCGCGAUGAGGGAAUCCCAAGUGCUUGCUCGUAAGAGUAAGCUGUUUUUAUGUCUAAAAAGCAUGAAGAGUAAGGGCUGGGUAAGACGGGUGCCAGCCGCCGCGGUAAUACCUGCAGCUCAAGUGGUGAUCGCUAUUAUUGGGCCUAAAACGUUCGUAGCCGGUUUGGUAAAUGCCUGGGUAAAUCGUGUAGCUUAACUAUACGAAUUCUGGGUAGACUGCUAAACUUGAGACCGGGAGAGGCUAGAGGUACUCCUGGGGUAGAGGUGAAAUUCUGUAAUCCUGGGGGACCACCAGUGGCGAAGGCGUCUAGCUAGAACGGGUCUGACGGUGAGGGACGAAGCCCUGGGGCGCAAACCGGAUUAGAUACCCGGGUAGUCCAGGGUGUAAACGCUGCUUGCUUGAUGUUAGUUGGGCUCCGAGCCCAAUUAGUGUCGGAGAGAAGUUGUUAAGCAAGCUGCCUGGGAAGUACGGUCGCAAGACUGAAACUUAA
RNAcentral lists this ribosomal RNA (805 nucleotides) under uncultured euryarchaeote. RNAcentral describes it as "bacterial SSU rRNA". It matches the Rfam family "Archaeal small subunit ribosomal RNA", at positions 48 to 859 of the family's 1478-position model. The record is from RNAcentral. Lineage: Archaea; Methanobacteriati; Methanobacteriota.